UACGUAGGUGGCAAGCGUUGUCCGGAAUUAUUGGGCGUAAAGCGCGCGCAGGCGGUCUCUUAAGUCUGAUGUGAAAGCCCACGGCUCAACCGUGGAGGGUCAUUGGAAACUGGGGGACUUGAGUACAGAAGAGGAAAGCGGAAUUCCACGUGUAGCGGUGAAAUGCGUAGAGAUGUGGAGGAACACCAGUGGCGAAGGCGGCCUUCUGGACAGUGACUGACGCUGAGACGCGAAAGCGUGGGGAGCAAACAGG
RNAcentral lists this ribosomal RNA (253 nucleotides) under uncultured bacterium. Its description in RNAcentral is "partial 16S ribosomal RNA". It matches the Rfam family "Bacterial small subunit ribosomal RNA", at positions 524 to 776 of the family's 1533-position model. The record is from RNAcentral.